AUGUGUCAUCCGUCUUCAGGUGUCCAUGGCAUCAGUCUGGCCUCGUCUCCAGACCAGCUCAGGUCUCCUGGUGCCUCGGUGAAGAUCUCCUGCCAGGUGUCUGGUUAUGCCCUCACUGACUACGGCACGGGCUGGAUCCAACAGCCUCCAGGCAAAGCCAUGCAGUGGAUUGGGAUCAUGUGGGGUGGAGGCUCCUUUGACUACGCCGACUCCUUCAAGAGGCGCUUUAGCAUCAGCAGAGACAGCAGCAAUGUGCUCUACUUGGACAUCAGCAGCCUGCAGCCUGAGGACUCAGCAGUGUACUAUUGUGCCAAGACACACAGUGCAGCAGCUCAGUGGAGGAGCUGAACAAAAUCCCCAGACGGAGACACUCACACUCACACUCUGCACCUAAGACCGCAGUC
Molecule: non-coding RNA, 404 nt
Organism: Engraulis encrasicolus (European anchovy)
Lineage: Eukaryota; Metazoa; Chordata; Actinopteri; Clupeiformes; Engraulidae
Source: the annotation of a RefSeq genome assembly